CGCGGGGUGGAGCAGAGGUAGCUCGUUGGGCUCAUAACCCGAAGGUCGUCAGUUCGAUUCUGACCCCCGCCA
Molecule: transfer RNA, 72 nt
Filed under: Bacteroides sp.
Lineage: Bacteria; Pseudomonadati; Bacteroidota; Bacteroidia; Bacteroidales; Bacteroidaceae
Description: tRNA-Met
Rfam family: tRNA
About the family: Transfer RNA (tRNA) molecules are approximately 80 nucleotides in length.
Source: RNAcentral